Misgurnus anguillicaudatus (oriental weatherfish) is the source of this 614-nucleotide non-coding RNA. The record is from RefSeq and is a predicted model, not a curated record. Lineage: Eukaryota; Metazoa; Chordata; Actinopteri; Cypriniformes; Cobitidae.
UUCAGCAGGCGCAGUCCUGGUGCGGAGCGGCGGGUUGCUCUGUGAGCUGGGGUCCCUGUUUGGCUCCCGUCACUGCAGGAUCGCCAGCAUCCAGGCUCUCGGACAUCUUCUCACAGAUUAUGUCUACCAGCCUCUCGAAGUCCUGCACUGCAGCGAAAGAGUCUUCAUUGGUGAUGUCGUACAUGAGGAUGAAGCCCAUGGCUCCACGGUAGUAGGCAGUGGUGAUGGUUCUGUAUCGCUCUUGUCCUGCUGUGUCCUGUUGAAGAAGUGCAAAAAGAUCAUCAAGAAAAAUGAAUGUCCAGGGACAUAAGGAUUUCUGAUUGCAGACAGAUAAAAAAUAAUGAAUAGGAGGGAACCGGGCCAUUUUUAAGGACCAGAAUUGACAUCAGAGCCCCAGAGACUUGGAGGUACUGUACAGGAAUGGCCACCAAGGAGUUUCAGCAACCACGCACCUCAACUCCACCCAUGUUCCGCCUCUUUGCCCAUUAUCGGUUAACUGGGAGUGACACACGAGGACUUCACCCCAGAUGGUGAAGGCCAGAUCCCGCCCACUUUGGGAUUCAAAAAUGCUCUUCAGAAACCUACGGGUGAGCAUUAUGUCCAUGUUAUAUACA